This 254-nucleotide ribosomal RNA is filed under the name uncultured bacterium. RNAcentral's name for it is "partial 16S ribosomal RNA". It matches the Rfam family "Bacterial small subunit ribosomal RNA", at positions 524 to 776 of the family's 1533-position model. The record is from RNAcentral.
GACGAACCGUGCGAACGUUGUUCGGAAUCACUGGGCUUAAAGGGCGCGUAGGCGGCUUGCCAAGUCAGUGGUGAAAUCCCACAGCUUAACUGUGGAAGUGCCUUUGAUACUGGCGAGCUCGAGGGAGGUAGGGGUAUGUGGAACUUCUGGUGGAGCGGUGAAAUGCGUUGAUAUCAGAAGGAACGCCGGUGGCGAAAGCGACGUACUGGACCUCUUCUGACGCUGAGGCGCGAAAGCUAGGGGGAGCAAACGGG